GUCUCUUUAUAUGUCUCUAAUGAUUUAAAUCAUGGUAUCUGUCUUGCACUGUGUGUUAUCCAAUCUCUCAAUAAUGAUCCUUCCGCAGGUUCACCUACGGAAA
RNAcentral lists this unclassified non-coding RNA (103 nucleotides) under uncultured fungus. RNAcentral describes it as "sequence contains ITS1, 5.8S rRNA gene". The record is from RNAcentral. Lineage: Eukaryota; Fungi.